GAGAGAUGAAAUCCUUGGAGGACAAAAUAGGCCAUCUUCUGAAGGAUGUUGCGUACCUCAAAGCGACAGCAAAAUCAGUCAAACUGAUAGGGCAAAGCACCAUCAAAACACAGAUAAUCAGUCUCCCUAAUAUAUACCCUGGAGGCUUCCCAUGCAAGACUUCUGCUGAAGUUGAGGCUCUGGAGAAUUUCUUGAAGAAUGCAAACACAGAGACCAGGAAAUUGUUUUUCCAGGGUCUUUUGCAGCUGGGAGGGUCGAAGCCUGGAGACAUCAUUCGAGAAGUACUAAGGACCCUCUUGAGUAAUCGAGCGGCUCUCGAAUAUAGUUAUCAAGGGGAGGGCCCGAACAACAAAGCCUUUCAACCUCUGCUGAUAUGUGAAAUGACCCUGAAUGUUGUACGAGCAAACCCCCAAUACCAUGAGUACACAUCAAAUUCCUUUAAGGUAAUCGUCGAGAAUUGGCUCAGGAAUGCUAACAAGCGUUUGCUAACAGAAGGAAAAAAUCGGCGUCGAGCUCCUGCAAGGGCGGCAGAUUAUGUAUAAUUCUCCAAUGUUAGUGUAAUUGUUGCGCAGUUGUUAAUAAUUGUAUUUUACACGUAUGUAAAUAUAUUUUAUAAAAAUAAAUAAACCUUUUUAUACAAUCAAAUGAAUUAAUUCAAAUUCAAUUAUCCAAGUAUGAAAUAAAAUAAAAGGAGGUAAAAUGGUUCUGGGUUCAUACCAUUUCGGGGAAAAACAAAACCAUAAACUUCUAAAAAUUUCUAUUAGAGUUAAAAAUUUUGAGCUCCAAUGAGUGCCAGUACAAGAAUGAGAGAGGAGAGUGUUAAGCUCAGGCAGCUUGCAUUGGAAUACUAAAUUGAGGUCAUACCAGAGAUCUAUAACGUUUUGGAGCUUUGUAGACUACAUCAGUAGAUCACCCUCAUUAGAGAACCCAACUCAGCAUCCCGCUAAAUCCAAGACUGCAUCGAAACGCUGUCAUGAAUAAGUUGACGUCGUCUUGGAUUUUGCAGUAUGGUAAGUUGGGUUCACUGACAAGUGUUAUCUACUGAGGAGGUCUAAAAAGACCCAAAACGUUAUAGAUCUCUCGGCGUGACCUCAACUUAAUAUUCCAAUGCGAGCUGCCUGAACUGAACAAACAACCCCCGUCUUGUAUUGGUACUCAUUAGAGCUCAACAUUUUUUACUCUUUUUGAAAUUUUUGAAACUUUUUGGCUUUGUUUCCCCUGCGAAAUGGAGUGGACCCAGCACCAUUUCACCUUGUUACAUACAGUUCAUGCCAUUUCUUAGUGUUUCUCUCUUUUAUGUUUAUACUUAGGUAUGUAUUUUUUCUGUAAUUGUAUUUUGUGACUCAAAAUAAAAUUUGCAGAACUUUUUAGCUUUGUUUCCCCUGCAAAAUGGUGUGGACCCAGCAUCAUUUUACCACCUUGUUUCAGUUCAGACUAUGUCUUAGUGUUUUCUCUCUUUUAUAUGUUUGUAUCCAUACUGUAAUAUAAUGAUAUUGCAGGUAUGUAUUUUCCUGUAAAUGUGUUUUGUGAUAUACCUAGUUCAUUUUUUCUAGUUUUAGGUAAUGACAGUAAUGAGCUCUCUACUUGUGAAGAAAUCUCAUAUUUUUUUUUAAUAAAAGCCAUCAAGUAUGUAUACAUAGAGUUUUUUUCUUAAUUAAGUCUUU
This 1664-nucleotide long non-coding RNA is filed under the name Bemisia tabaci. RNAcentral's name for it is "lncRNA ENSSSA2NGG010653". The record is from RNAcentral. Lineage: Eukaryota; Metazoa; Arthropoda; Insecta; Hemiptera; Aleyrodidae.